AGGGGUUUGAUCCUGGCUCAGGAUGAACGCUGGCGGUGCGCCUAAUGCAUGCAAGUCGAGCGACGCAUACCCAGUCCGUAAGGACAGGGUAUGACGGAGCGGCGAACGGGUGAGUAACACGUGAGCAACCUGCCCCACAGAUCGGGAUAGCCCAGGGAAACUUGGAUUAAUACCGGAUAUUCUCCUUGGACCGCAUGGUCCGUUGAGGAAAUGCCUUUGUGCUGUGGGAUGGGCUCGCGAUUUAUCAGUUAGUUGGUGGGGUAACGGCCUACCAAGACAAUGACGAGUAGCUGGUCUGAGAGGACGAUCAGCCACACUGGAACUGAGACACGGUCCAGACUCCUACGGGAGGCAGCAGCAGGGAAUCUUGCGCAAUGGACGAAAGUCUGACGCAGCGACACCCGCGUGGGGGAUGAAGGCCUUCCGGGUUGUAAAACCCCUUUUUAGGAGGGAAGAAAUUGACGGUACCUCCAGAAAAAAGGACCGGGCCAACUACGUU
RNAcentral lists this ribosomal RNA (499 nucleotides) under uncultured bacterium. RNAcentral's name for it is "bacterial SSU rRNA". It matches the Rfam family "Bacterial small subunit ribosomal RNA", at positions 1 to 507 of the family's 1533-position model. The record is from RNAcentral.